UGCAUAGCAGUCAGACAGCGUGAGAUAAGUUUCGUUGUCAAAAGGGAAACAGCCCAGACCCACAGCUAAGGUCCCAAAUUCAUGCUAAGUGGAAAACGAUGUGGAAUUGCGAAAACAACCAGGAUGUUGGCUUAGAAGCAGCCACUCAUUAAAAGAGUGCGUAAUAGCUCACUGGUCGAGUGACUCUGCGCGGAAAAUAUAACGGGGCUAAGCAUGAAACCGAAGCUUGGGCUUGUCGUAAGACAGGGGUAGGGGAGCGUCGAGUAUGGGGUGAAGUCAGAGCGGAAGCACUGGUGGACUGUACUCGAGUGAGAAUGCCGGAAUGAGUAGCGAGAAUUAUGUGGGAAUCAUAAUGGCCGAAAAUCUAAGGUUUCUUGGGGAAGGUUCGUCCGCCCAAGGUAAGUCGGGAGCUAAGCUCAGGCCGAGAGGCGUAGGCGAUGCACAUACGGUAGAAAUUCCGUAACCACCGAAACUUAAACAGAGGGACACUUCAGGAUAGCGGAACCCGGGCGUUGGUUGACCCGGGCGAAAGGGAGCGAAAUUAGAGUAGCGAAGUCCGCGAUGCCUGGAGGCGAGAAAAGCUCUGAGGUAUGCUAAGGUGCCCGUACCGCAAACCGACACAGGUAGAUGAGGAGAGAAUCCUAAGGCCAACGGGAGAAGGGUUGUUAAGGAACUCGGCAAAUUGACCCCGUAACUUCGGAAGAAGGGGAGCCCCCUACGGGGGGUCGCAGAGAAAUGGCCCAAGCAACUGUUUACCAAAAACACAGGUCUAUGCUAAAUCGAAAGAUGACGUAUAUGGGCUGACGCCUGCCCGGUGCCGGAAGGUUAAGAGGAGAUGUCAGGCAACGAAGCAUUGAAUUUAAGCCCCGGUAAACGGCGGCCGUAACUAUAACGGUCCUAAGGUAGCGAAAUUCCUUGUCAGGUAAGUUCUGACCCGCACGAAUGGCGUAAUGAUUUGGGCACUGUCUCAACAGCCCGCCCGGCGAAAUUGUAGUACUGGUGAAGAUGCCAGUUACCCGCAACUAGACGGAAAGACCCCAUGGAGCUUUACUGCAGCUUAAUACUGAAAUUCGGUAGUACAUGUACAGGAUAGGUGGGAGACUGAGAAAUACAGGCGUCAGCUUGUAUGGAGUCGCUGUUGGGAUACCACUCUUGUACUGCUGGGUUUCUAACCUGCGGCCGUGAAUCCGGUCGGGGGACACUGUUAGGCGGGCAGUUUGACUGGGGCGGUCGCCUCCCAAAAGGUAACGGAGGCGCUCAAAGGUUCGUUCAGCACGGACGGAAAUCGUGCAAUGAGUGUAAACGCAUAAACGAGCCUAACUGCGACACCGACGGGUGGAGCAGUAACGAAAGUUGGAGUUAGUGAUCCGGUGGUAUGUGAGUGGAAAUGCCAUCGCUCAACGGAUAAAAGCUACCCUGGGGAUAACAGGCUGAUCUCCCCCAAGCGUCCACAGCGACGGGGAGGUUUGGCACCUCGAUGUCGGCUCGUCGCAUCCUGGGGCUGAAUUCGGUCCCAAGGGUUUGGCUGUUCGCCAAUUAAAGCGGCACGCGAGCUGGGUUCAGAACGUCGUGAGACAGUUCGGUCCCUAUCUGUUGCGGGCGUAAGAGAUUUGAAGGGAGCUGUCCUUAGUACGAGAGGACCGGGAUGGACGUACCUCUGGUGCACCAGUUGU
This 1673-nucleotide ribosomal RNA is filed under the name gut metagenome. RNAcentral describes it as "bacterial LSU rRNA". It matches the Rfam family "Bacterial large subunit ribosomal RNA", at positions 974 to 2724 of the family's 2925-position model. The record is from RNAcentral.